RNAcentral lists this ribosomal RNA (395 nucleotides) under uncultured bacterium. Its description in RNAcentral is "bacterial SSU rRNA". It matches the Rfam family "Bacterial small subunit ribosomal RNA", at positions 505 to 898 of the family's 1533-position model. The record is from RNAcentral.
GUGUCAGCCGCCGCGGUAAAACGUAGGAGGCGAGCGUUAUCCGGAUUCAUUGGGCGUAAAGGGCAAGUAGGCGGUGGCGAAAGUUGGGCGUGACAUCUCUCGGCUUAACUGAGAGGGGUCGUCCAAAACUACGCGACUAGAGGGCAGGAGAGGGAAGUGGAAUUCCUCGUGUAGCGGUGGAAUGCUCAGAUAUGAGGAGGAACACCAGUGGCGAAAGCGACUUCCUGGCCUGUACCUGACGCUGAGAGGCGAAAGCUAGGGGAGCGAACGGGCUUAGAUACCCCGGUAGUCCUAGCUGUAAACGUUGGAUACUGGGUAUGGGGGGUUUAAAUACCUUCUGUGCCGAAGCAAACGCGUUAAGUAUCCCGCCUGGGGACUACGGCCGCAAGGUUAAA